UGAGCUUGCACUUCCUUCUGCCCCGUGUUUCCUGGCUGUGAGGAGGCAGAGACAUUUCCCUGCUCCUCACACCCCACGAUGCUCGACCUCCACCAAGAGAAGACGGCGGGGUGCAGGCCACCCGUCUGCUGGCUGACACAGCCCCACGGAAGGUUCUGGAAACUGUGAGCGAAACUGUUAUCCCUGAUGAGAGAGAGCAAGUCAUCUCUUCACCCCACCGAGACCUGAGAUCACUGCCAACCCUGGCAGGGAUCCACCUUAUGCCGGGCAUCGGGAAAGCACUGUACACACAGCUGUUAAUUCCUGGGGGAGCGGACGAGCAACUCAGGCUCUGAGGACCCGUAGAUGCUCAUUUGCAUAGGCUGGGAAGGCUGAUGCACCCACUUGCCACAGGUCCCAACAUGGACGGAGGAUGUCACCCAGAGUCCUGCCAGGCACACAGCCAGCUUGCAGGAGGAGCCAUCACAGUGUGCAAGUAUAUGGUGGACAGAUGGGAGAGCCGGAGGAGGAGCGGCCUGAGCAUUGUGAAGACAGAGGGCAGCUGGAGGCGAGGGGCCUGAUGUGAGUGGCCAGCUACCUCGGCCCGGAUGAGAUACCUCUGAAGGUCACGUCUGUCCAUGGUUACUCAGCAGCAGGGGUCAGGGUCAGUGUCCACGGCUCAUAUCACCACUAGAGAACACAGGGAUGUCCCUGGUGGGGGCAGCCACUGGAGACCAUGGGAUGUACAGGGGCUGUGCAGAACUGGCCCUGCCCCUCACUGCCUGUGGCACUCUGGACCCUGGUCCUUGCCUAGACAGCACAGUGGGGCUGGCCCUGCCUCCUGCCAAUGGUGGCAUUGGGUGACCUAGCUGGAGCGGUGCUGGAGAGCUUGCAGAUAAGGGAGAGCUGGCGGGCUGACCAGCUCAGCUACCACCCAUGCCCAGGUCCAGGGCUCUGAGCUGGCCUACCCCAGCUCUCUGUCAUCUGUGAACAGUUGGGAUUCGUGAGAAGGACAGUCCUGCAGAUCCAAAGCUGCAGGAUCUCCAUGAUACAGGACAACAACAGGUAACCGGGAGGAGUCCCAGUGAGCAUCCAAUACGGAUGGUGUCACCGAAGCCAGAGAUCUCGAACCAGACCAAAGACUCACUGCAAGGAACAUUUGCAAGUGAAGACGUGUGGACAGAGGUGUGUACUGUGGGUCCCACGGUGACACCACAGCUUCCGUGACGAGGCGUUCUCUUUGCUUUUUUGGUCUACUUUGAAGGGAGGUUGGGUGCAAGGGCAAAGGGGUGGAUAUGAGGGGGCAGGGAGAUGAGUGGGACUGGGGUGAAUGAUGUGAAGCUCACAAUAAAAAGUUUCAAGGUGAGCACACUGAUUGAUGGAGCGUAGUUAUGGACCAUGGCGGACCUAUACCCGGCAGCAGAGAGAGCCCCAGGCAGACGUGAUUUCACGAUUGGUAGACCUAGAUGAUUUGAUGAAGACAGGGUGCAUCUGACCAGAGAUCACUUGAAAAAAGUAAUUCUUAAUCCCUUCCUUCAUAUGAUAUUCAGAAAUUAAUCUCCAGUGGAUACAGAUGUGCGUGCACUUCACACAGAUGUGUUCACACUACAGGCAUACACACAAACACACGUGCGUGCCCCACGAUUGUACAGGCACAAGAUUUAUUCAUUACUUCUACAGCAGGACACCCCAAAUCACCCACAGGUGAGCAUAUACAUAAACUACACAGCCUUGCAAUGAAGGCAGAUCCAGCAGCUGACACCGACGACAGCAGCAUGAAUGAAGCCUAAAAACGGUGCUGAGCAAAAGAAGCAGAAGGACAUGCAUGCUAUGAAAUUCUAGAUCACCGAGACAGUCUACCCUGACUAAAGCGGCUUACGCCAGGAGUCUGAGGAUAACUCCACAGGGACACGGAGGAGCUUCGGAGGGGUGAAAAUGUGUUGGCUGCUAAAAUGUAUUUGAAUACUUACACUGUAUACAUUUUACUGUGACUCAUGCUUAUAAAAACAAUUCCAAAGGUAAAAACCAUUAUGUAUGCGCAUGCUACGGCUUUAUUUUGUCUUUUUAAAUAGAUAGAACUAAUGCUUAUAGGUGUCUCCUUGCCCUGUAUGGUUGCAGCAUGGUGGAAAAAUCAUGUAGUCAGCGUCGUGAGCAGCAGCUGGAUUCAGCUCCUGCUGAGUGGCCCCCCAGGGCUGCAAGCCCACCCUCAGGUAACUGCUGCGGCCACGGCGUUCCCGGGCUGAGUAAGACGUCAGAGGCCUGCUAGGCUGCACACACCCGCUUAUUCUGAACAGCCUUGGAAGCUAUU
Long non-coding RNA from Meriones unguiculatus (Mongolian gerbil), 2287 nucleotides. RefSeq lists it as uncharacterized. The transcript has 3 exons. Lineage: Eukaryota; Metazoa; Chordata; Mammalia; Rodentia; Muridae. The record is from RefSeq and is a predicted model, not a curated record.